GACGUAGGGGGCGAGCGUUGUCCGGAAUUACUGGGCGUAAAGAGCACGUAGGCGGGAACCUAAGUCAGGUGUGAAAGACCGUGGCUCAACCACGGGGUGGCAUUUGAAACUGGGUUUCUUGAGGGCAGGAGAGGAAAGCAGAAUUCCUGGUGUAGCGGUGAAAUGCGUAGAAAUCAGGAGGAAUACCAGUGGCGAAGGCGGCUUUCUGGACUGACCCUGACGCUGAGGUGCGAAAGCGUGGGUAGCAAACAGG
RNAcentral lists this ribosomal RNA (253 nucleotides) under uncultured bacterium. RNAcentral's name for it is "partial 16S ribosomal RNA". It matches the Rfam family "Bacterial small subunit ribosomal RNA", at positions 524 to 776 of the family's 1533-position model. The record is from RNAcentral. RNAcentral also lists the same sequence under 1 other name.